UGGCCUCGAAAGUCCGUCGGGAAAUCCACACGCCCAACGUGUGGGCGUCCGGCGGAAACUCCGAGGCUUGGGACCGGAAGGCUCGAGGGGUACGUCCGGGGUAGGAGUGAAAUCCCGUAAUCCCGGACGGACCACCGAUGGCGAAAGCACCUCGAGAAAACGGAUCCGACAGUGAGGGACGAAAGCUAGGGUCUCGAACCGGAUUAGAUACCCGGGUAGUCCUAGCCGUAAACGAUGUUCGCUAGGUGUGACACAGGCUACGCGCCUGUGUUGUGCCGUAGGGAAGCCGAGAAGCGAACCGCCUGGGAA
This 309-nucleotide ribosomal RNA is filed under the name uncultured archaeon. RNAcentral's name for it is "bacterial SSU rRNA". It matches the Rfam family "Archaeal small subunit ribosomal RNA", at positions 526 to 834 of the family's 1478-position model. The record is from RNAcentral.